UUCCGUAGAGGUAAAAGUGCAGCAGA
Molecule: non-coding RNA, 26 nt
Filed under: Bombyx mori (domestic silkworm)
Lineage: Eukaryota; Metazoa; Arthropoda; Insecta; Lepidoptera; Bombycidae
Source: RNAcentral